UUUAACAAUCCAAUCACCACUUUUCAAUUCAAUAGGGAUUCUAGAAAGUUUUGCACCCUUUGGUCCUGAAACCUCUUCAAAAUCUGGGAUAUGCUUUGAACUUUCUGCAUUGAAAAAUGAGAAAACAACAUGACAGUACCUAAAAGGCAAAAUUUAAUAUAUAGAAAUAUUUUGAAGUUCAGAAUGCAUCAGUAAAUUUAUGUAUGAAAAAAAUAGAUUUAUUAAAUACCCUAUAAAAAGAGAAGCAAGAAAAACAAAAUUUAUCUUUACAGUUCCCACUUCCUACUUUAAUAAGAGAAACAAGUACAAUAUAAACAAAAGAGAACUCCUAACACCCCAUUUGGAUUGAUUGCAAUGUGGUUUAUUAAUGUAUAGUAUCGUAUCGUAUUGUAUGGUAUGAUUUUUAUUAUUAACAUGUUUGGAAAGAUGGUAUGGCAAAAGAUGAUUUAAUAACCUUCUUUUGUUUGGUUAGAUAGUAUGGUAUGAUAAAAUAAAUAUAAAAAUUACUAA
This 510-nucleotide unclassified non-coding RNA is filed under the name Hevea brasiliensis (rubber tree). The record is from RNAcentral. Lineage: Eukaryota; Viridiplantae; Streptophyta; Magnoliopsida; Malpighiales; Euphorbiaceae.